RNA transcript from Panthera uncia (snow leopard), 7227 nucleotides. It is a transcript of the gene named MINDY lysine 48 deubiquitinase 2, with no coding region annotated. The transcript is spliced from 10 exons. NCBI's taxonomy places the organism in Eukaryota, Metazoa, Chordata, Mammalia, Carnivora, Felidae. The record is from RefSeq and is a predicted model, not a curated record.
GCGCGCGCGCGCUCCCGGUGCCCUCCCCGUGACGUGCCUGGCCGAGGCCGCGCAAGGGCGCUGUAGCUGCCAGUGCCGCUGUCAUGGCGUCCGAGGCGCUGGCUGAAGAGAACCCGCCGCGGUCUCCUUAGAGCGAGGGGCUGGCGGCUGGGCAUGGAGAGCGGCCCCGAGAGCCUGCAGCCACUAGAACACGGGGUGGCCAUCGGGCCAACGCCAGGGACAGGUUCUCCGCAGGAAGGGCCACCGGAGACCAGGCUCGCCGCCGGAGAUGGUCCUGGAGUAUGGGCGGCGGAGAGCAGAGGCGGGAAUGGGCAGGGGGCGGCGGCCGCCGGGAGGAGCCUCUUGGACUCCGUUUCUCCCGCCGGCUCUCCUCAGGUUCCCGGACCCUGCAGCUCCUUUCCGAGCUUGGACUUGAAGGAGAGCGAUUUGGAGAACACUGCUGCCCAGAAGGCGCCUCUGAGAGGGCAACACAAGGUGACCGCCUCGCCGGAGACCGCGGAGGCCGGAGCGGACCAUGGAUCGGGUCCGGCCGGAGACGCCGGCUGCCGCGCGGAUUCCGCCGGCACCUGCCGGGCAGAGUUGGCGGCCGCCGGCUCCGAGGAGCCUAGCAGCGCCGGCGGCCUCAGUAGCAGUUGCAGCGACCCGAGCCCUCCUGGGGAAUCGCCAAGCCUGGACUCCCUGGAGUCGUUCUCUAACCUGCAUUCUUUCCCCAGUAGCUCUGAGUUUAAUAGUGAGGAGGGAGCAGAGAACCGGGUCCCCGGGGAGGAGGAGGAGGGCGAGGGCGCGGCGGUGUUGCCCCGGGCUGUGCCUCUUUGCCGAGAAGAGGAGGAGGAGGAGGAGGGGGAGGAAGCUCAGGUACUAGCGGCCUCCAAGGAACGCUUCCCGGGACAAUCUGUCUAUCACAUCAAGUGGAUCCAGUGGAAGGAAGAGAACACACCCAUCAUCACUCAGAAUGAGAAUGGACCCUGCCCUUUGCUGGCCAUCCUCAAUGUUUUGCUUCUGGCCUGGAAGGUGAAACUUCCACCGAUGAUGGAAAUCAUAACUGCUGAACAGCUGAUGGAAUAUUUAGGAGAUUACAUGCUUGAUGCAAAGCCAAAAGAAAUUUCAGAAAUUCAACGUUUAAACUAUGAGCAGAAUAUGAGUGAUGCUAUGGCAAUCUUGCACAAACUACAGACAGGCUUGGAUGUAAAUGUAAAAUUCACUGGUGUUCGAGUGUUUGAAUAUACACCAGAAUGCAUAGUAUUUGAUCUUCUUGAUAUUCCUUUGUACCAUGGGUGGUUAGUGGACCCACAGAUUGAUGACAUUGUAAAAGCUGUUGGUAACUGCAGCUACAACCAGCUAGUGGAGAAGAUCAUCUCUUGUAAGCAGUCAGACAAUAGUGAGCUGGUUAGUGAAGGCUUUGUAGCUGAGCAGUUUCUAAAUAACACAGCCACUCAACUGACAUACCAUGGAUUAUGUGAACUAACUUCAACGGUUCAGGAAGGAGAACUUUGUGUGUUCUUUCGGAAUAAUCAUUUUAGCACCAUGACCAAAUACAAGGGUCUACUGUAUUUGCUGGUAACAGACCAGGGGUUUCUUACGGAAGAAAAAGUUGUUUGGGAAAGCCUACACAAUGUGGAUGGUGAUGGAAAUUUCUGUGACUCAGAAUUUCAUCUGCGGCCUCCUUCAGAUCCUGAAACCGUAUACAGAGGACAACAGGAUCAGAUAGAUCAGGACUAUCUUAUGGCAUUAUCUCUACAACAAGAACAGCAGAGCCAAGAGAUCAACUGGGAACAAAUACCCGAAGGAAUCAGUGAUUUGGAACUAGCAAAGAAACUCCAAGAAGAGGAGGAUAGACGGGCUUCUCAAUAUUAUCAGGAACAGGAACAAGCAGCAGCAGCUGCUGCUUCUGCUUCUCCACAGGCCCAGCAAAGCCAGCCAGCACAAGCCUCUCCAUCAAGUGGAAGACAAUCUGGGAAUGGUGAACGUAAACGAAAGGAACCUCGAGAAAAAGAUAAAGAAAAAGAAAAGGACAAAAAUAGCUGUGUCAUUUUGUAACAAGUGGUGGGUUCUGUUGGAUGCGUCUGUAUGUCUUGAGAAACAAAACCACAGGAGGAAAGGAAGAAAAACCGAUAAAUACCGUCUGUGCCUGAUUUCCCAAUGGAUUUUGUUCAUGUUUUUCAGGGGAAAGGUUGUUACUUAGUUACAAUCAGACUUUUUCAAGUCACACAGUACACUCUUCCUGAGCUGGAGUUUCGCGUUACAAGUUGGAAAUGCUGUGUGGUAUCAUACAUGAAAAAAUACUGCACUUGUAGCCAAAUAAGCAAAUCACAGCAAAUUUUGUGUCAUAGUGACAUUCAUAACUCAUAUCAGUUAGUAAGCUAUUUUAUCUUUUGUUCUAACAAUGAAUGGAGGUAACUGAUUUUGUCUGAUUCCUUCCUGAAAUCUAAAUAUUAGCACAAUAGUUUCUGAAAUUAAUUUUUACAAUGUUAAAUUAUUAUCUAAUCCAAGAGAAACCAGGGGGUUAAUAUAGGGAUAUAAAAGGAAAACACACAUACACACACACACACACACACACACACACACACACACAAAACACAAGAAACAAACCAAGACAAAAAAUAACAAAUAAAUAACCUUUAAUCCUGUAUUGGACUAGUUCAGCCCUUGAACAGCUUUACCUUUCUUUAGGAAUGUACAUUUUAGAUACUAUCUUGAGAACUGAUAAUAGAGCUUGGGUUUAAUUUAGAUAGAAAAAAUAAGUUGUAUUUCUUUUCCAAUAGCAAAAAAAUUACAUAACACUAAUACUCAUAUUCUGUAAAAUCAGAUAUUAAUGACUUUGUAGUGUUGUGAAAUUUUGAGGAAUUUUGAAAUCUUUAAUAUACGUAACUUGUACUACAGUUACUAUUUAUUGAAAGUGCGAUAACUGAUAAGAAGGAAACCACAGUGGAUGCUAGGCCUUGUAAAUACAGGAAUAUAGAAAAGCAGAUAGUUCAAAUGUCUACCUUUUUCUAGAAUUACCUUGAACCUUAAAAUUUAAAUCAUGUUUAUUUGCUAGAAAAUUACGUAUACUUAGUAAAGCCAACAAAAAAGCACAUUUCUGAAAGGAAGUUAGAGAUAUAAUCUCUGAGUCUAGUGAAACGCAUUAAUAAAAAUCUGUUUGAAAAUAGAUAAGAAUUGGGAGGAAUUUAUGUAAAAGCAAUCAGACUUUUUUAACUUAUGGGAACCAAAUAGACCUAUAACAUCUUGUAGUGUUUAUAGGAUUCAGAAAGAAUAUUUAUUGAACUUUAUUAUAAGGCAACACAUAUUUUCCUGUAUUUCUACUAUCCUUAAUAGUCCUUUUUAUAUAUGCUUUAUAUUUAAAAGUUUGAUUUAGUCAUUUUUGAAAAGACUAUUGCUGCUGCAGGUAGUUAUGUGAUUUUCAUUCUAAGCCUCAGUAAAUUUGUUUAGGAGCAUCUUUAUCUAACCUGAGCAUCCACUUGGAGAAUGUUUUUUGUGGUCUGGGGUGACAGUAGACUACAAAAAAAAAAAUGUGGUAUAGAGUUCUUAAGCUAUGUCUUUAACAUUGUCCAUGAUCCAAGACUAUUUAUAGAAUGAGUCUGUAUGUAAAAAUAAAAAGUAAAGUCUUAUUUAUGGAAGGAAUUAUUCUAAGGGAAAAAUCCAGGGUCAAGCUGUAUCUUUUAUGUCAUGUCCUUCUGUAUUGCAUGUCUGGUUAUGUUAUACCAUUUGUUACUCCUUCAGAUUUCCUAUACUAGCAUGAUAAAUCAUCAGAGAACCUGUUUGGGGUAUAACACUUUGAUACAAAAUAUCUGAUCCACACAUCACAAGUAGGACAAUAUCAUAGAAGAAUGAUGUAUGAUUGCUCCACAGCAGUCAGCAAAAGGGAUAAUUGGAUAAUCUUCACUUGUGAAACUUCAGAGGUACCUGAAAGUCAUUUCCUAAAGUUAGUGCAUGUGAGUCUUUUUCCUUGAAUUGUGCAGAAUAAUUGGAUGUGGCACACAUUUUGGGGAAUAGGAAGUGAAAUGGUAUAAUGACUGCAGAGCAAGUGAUUUUGAAAUGUCACAAGAAGAAACAAGUUUUCUUCCUCCACUUCACUGUCUGACUAUUUGGGUCAGGAAGUUGCUAUGACAUACAGAUCUCUUUGUGCUAGGCCAAGAUUGGCCAAUUGAAAUAGAGUUCUCAAAGAGUUUGAAUAUAUAGAUUGUGUAUGAGCACCUAUUUUAUCCUUUUCUUUACUAUCUUAAUGCCCUUUCUACUUCUGAAACAAUUCAUCCAUUUUGCUUCAUGACCAGCUUUAAUUCCAGUUUGAGAAUAAUAGCAUCCCUAGAAAUUGAUACAAAACAGCAUUGAAAUACAUUUUUCAAAUGAUACCUAAAAGCAUCUACCCAGCUUAGAAUUGAACUGAAUUUCUAUGAAAGAAAGUUAUUGUUUUAAAUGCUAAUUAUGUUAAAACUAUUUAAUUGUAAAAACUAUGUCUUAAACAUAUUCCAAAAGUUUCACUUUUGGAGGCUAUUCCUUUAAAAAGGCAUAUUGAACACAGAUGGGAAAGUGUAAAAUAUUUCUGAUAGAAUUAUUCAGUAUUAUUCAACAUUUAAUUUCAUGUUUGUUAUUGUACCACAAGGAUAGUGUCAUUCUUGGAUUAAAAUGUUGGACCUUUUGUUAAUAUACUUAAAACUGUAACCAGUGAUAACACCCUUAGUAUUUUUUAUUAUAGAUUAUAUUUUAUUUCAAUAAACUUUGAUAUUUAGACCAAACAGUCUUUCUCUUAUGUAUAUUCAUCUCAUUAAGGUACUUCUUACAAAGUGGGGAAAUGGAGAGAUGGGGAAGUGACAUUGAUUCAUAUCUAGAAUUGUGAACUCUAGGAUUAACUCUUAGAAUUGGACCAACUCUUUGUUUUUAAUGUUUGUUUAUUUUUGAAGGGGAGAGAGAGAGCACAAGUUGGGGAGGGGCAGAGACAGAGGGAGACACAGAAUCUGAAGCAGGCCCCAGGCUAUAAGCUGUCAGCACAGAGCCGGACGUGGGGCUCGAACCCAUGAGCUCUGAGAUCAUGACUUGAGCCAAAGUCAGAUGCUUAACCGACUGAGCCACCCAGGCGCCCCAUUUUUUUUUUAAUGUUUAUUUAUUUUUGAAGGAGAGAGACAGCAUAAGCAGGGAGGGGCAGAGAGAGAGGGAGACACAGAAUCUAAUGCAGGCUCCAGGCCCCGAGCUGUCAGCACAGAGUCUGACAUGGGGCUCGAACCCACAAACUGUGAGAUCAUGACCUGAGCAGAUGUCAGAUGCUUAAUGGACCAACACUUGAUAAAGAUGGAUUUUAACCCAAGAGGCAAUGAACAAAAAACCAAUCAACUCUAAACUAUAGUCAACUACUGGAUCCCAAUGGUAGAUUCAUUAUAUCUGAUACUCUUAUCCUUUUGGAAGACUAAGUUAGAAAGAGCUGAGAAGGGAUCACUUUAUCUUUAUACCAAGCCAACCUUAAUAUGAAGUUUUUGUCCAAAUCAGCUAAUGUCUGCCAUUUCUGUGAAAGUUUUCUCAGACACCAUAGCCCUUUAAACAGAAUUAGUCAUUACACAUAGUGUUUUCUUGACCUCCCCUCAUUAUAGUACUUAAGCUAGAUUGUGAGGCUUUUAAGAACAGGAAGCAUAUCUUACUCAUCUUGAUUUUCUUGGCACUUUAAAUGAAUUUGAAUAUCUAUUUAGAGGAAUUUUUUAAUUCCUUUAAUAGUUAUUGUUUCCCUGUCCUUUAAAUAAGUGAAAUAAGUAAGUUGGGUUAUUGAAUCCAUUUUCUCCUAUAGCAUAAAAGUUCAGGGUGCCUGGGUAGCUCACUCAUUUAAGCAUCUGACUCUUGUUUUCAGGUCAGGUCAAAAUUUCACAGUUUGUGAGAUUGAACCCCAUGUCAUCUCCACACUGAGAACAUGGAGUCUGUUUGGGAUUCUUUCUCUCCCUCUGUCUGUCCCUCUCCUGCUCUCUUUCUCAAAAUAAAUAAAUAAACUUAAAAAAAAUUAUGGGGGUGCCUGGGUGGCUCAGUUGGUUAACCAUCUGAUUCUUGGUUUUGGCUCAGGUCAUGAUCUCACAUUUUGUGAAAUUGAGCACCGUGUCAGGCUUUGCAGUGACAGCGCAGAGCCUGCUUGGUAUCUGUCUGUCCUUCUCUCUCUGCCCCUCUCCAACUUGUUCUCCCUCUCUCUCUCUCUCUCUUAAAAAAAAAAAUAAAUAAAUAAAUAAAUAAAUAAACAUUAAAAAAUAAAAGUUAUGUAGAUAGAGGGAACUAAAAUUCCUAUUCCUUUAUUCCUGCCUCUGAUUUUCCUUGGGCAUCAUCCUGUAUCCUCCCAGAGUUGAUGAAAGAACACUUCCAACAAAACUAGAGUAAGCAGCAUUGUUCUUUCCUGUCUCAUAUCUUUCCUUGCAGGGUCUCUUUUUCACUUUAUAUUAUCCUAUGAAGUACGCACCUAUUAAUUUUUGGAGCUGAGAUUUGAAACCAAGCAGUUUGACUCCAGAGGCUGUGCUCACAAAUAUAUCUGGAAGGGGACAUACAGGUCUAGGCCAGAUCUGUGUUCAAAUUCUGACCCUGGACUUUUAAAGUCAUAUCUGUCUCAAGCCUGCAGAAAUUUGCAAAAUCAGGCCUAUUGGUCUUUUUUAAAAGUACCCACUAAUCUUAGAGCAAAUUAAUACUACACAGCCUGUUUUCUACACUAAAAUGUCAUAAUUUAUACCUUGUUAUAAAGUUUAAAAAUAAUGCAUAUAAAAUGUGAUAUGCAUAACAAAAUAAAUUGUAACAGAUUAGUACUAAUAGACUAGGGAAAACUUUUUAACAAGUCAAGAACUUUAAGAAAGACUGAUUAAGGAGAUUAAGAAAGCUACUUAAGCCUAUAAAAGCAGACAUUUUUCUGUUAUCUCCAGAUAUAAUGCUGACCCUACCAUGAGGGCUGAGAUUAACCUGGACUCAGAAUGACCCAGAGUGAAAAGCAUGGAACAAACAAAACUUUAGAAUGCAUAGAAUAAUAUAAUAAUGAAUACCAGAUAAAACGAAAUUGUGGCAUGUUCUCCUAGAAGACUAUUAGAUUACUCAUUUGUCAAGAAUAAAAUAUAGCAGGAGACCCAGGCACCUAGACUUUACAGGAAGGGUCAUAUUUGGACUAAAGCUAUAACAUUGUAUUUUACAAGUAAGGACAGGGGUGCCUGGGUGGCUCAAUCGAUUGACUGUCCACCUCUUUUUUUUUUUUUUUUUAAAGACUUUUUUUUUUCAAGUUUAUUU